This 249-nucleotide long non-coding RNA is filed under the name Amborella trichopoda. RNAcentral's name for it is "long non-coding RNA (ATRI_LNC001128)". The record is from RNAcentral. Lineage: Eukaryota; Viridiplantae; Streptophyta; Magnoliopsida; Amborellales; Amborellaceae.
AGCAUUAGAAAAAUCAGUAAGAAACAUGUCAAAAGUAACAAUAAUCAGCAUGUACCAACUAAUAAUAAGAAAAAUCAAUCAUGCCUACCAAGAUAAAAAAAUGCAUACCCUCCAAUAUACAUAGGGUGAAACCGAGAUUGAGGUUCCUAUUGAGAUGUCCCCCUACAUUGUUGAACGCCAUAAGGAAAAGCCUUCUCUUCCUCUCAACCACACAUUCGCUAACCUAUUUAGGCUUAUAGGGCCUGCCGC